RNAcentral lists this ribosomal RNA (989 nucleotides) under Favorinus branchialis. RNAcentral describes it as "large subunit ribosomal RNA". The stretch from base 527 to 688 matches the Rfam family "Archaeal large subunit ribosomal RNA", at positions 1883 to 2090 of the family's 2987-position model. Lineage: Eukaryota; Metazoa; Mollusca; Gastropoda; Nudibranchia; Facelinidae. The record is from RNAcentral.
UUAUAAUAAAUAUUUAAUAAUUUAUGUUUAUUUUUAGUCUUACCGUAAUGGAAUUAUUUAGUACUAAAUGUCUUGUAGAUCUUACCUUUUGUAUAAUGGUUGAACAAAAAUAUAAUUAUUUAAUUAUUCCCGAAUUAAGAAGAGCCAUUUACUAGCCCUUCUUAGAGUAAAAACUUAUGUAGCAAUAUGGGCCUUAGACUAGUAAAUAGGGGUGAAAUGCCUUUCAAUUCUUAGGAUAUCUGGAAGUUAAGGAAAAGCAUUUAGUGCUGGCUAGGUGAGAUACAAAAUGCUUAGGUUUUGUAUAAUUAGGAUUAAAAAUGAGGUAAAUCUUUCUAGGGUUAAGCUCUUAGAUAAAAUUUAAAAAAAUCAAUUAAUCAUUUUAAAAUCUAAAAACUACUUUUCUUUUCACAAUAAUUUGUUUGUGGGUUAAUAAUGUUUAAAUUAGUAAUAAAUUUUACAGAACUAAAAUUUGCUUAUUCAUCAAAAAUUUUUAGUACGAAAUAACUUUAAGGAACUCGGCAAAUAUAGACUUGGACUGUUUACCAAAAACAUAGCCAGUAGAUGAUAUUGUUGGUUUAACCUGCCCAAUGUGAAUUAAUAUGAAUGGCCGCGGUACUCUGACCGUGCUAAGGUAGCGUAAUCAGUUGGCUUUUAAAUGGAGUCAGGAAUGAAUGGGAAAACCUGGUCUAGCUGUCUCAAAGUUACUAUAUUGAAUUUACUGUCCAAGUGAAAAAGCUUGGGUGAGAAAAAGGGACGAGAAGACCCUUAGAAUUUGUUUUUAAAAAGUUUAAUCAACUUUGUGAUUUUGUUGGGGCGACAUGGAAAUAGUUAAAACUUUCCUAUAAAACAUGCCGAUUAUGUUAAGUAAGGAUAAAUUACCUGAGGGAUAACAGCAUAAUUCUACUAUUGAGUUUGUGACCUCGAUGUUGGACUAGGAAACUAGCAGGCCAGCCGUUUGCUGUGUGGGUUCUGUUCGAACUUUAAUUCCU